This 424-nucleotide ribosomal RNA is filed under the name uncultured prokaryote. RNAcentral's name for it is "bacterial SSU rRNA". It matches the Rfam family "Bacterial small subunit ribosomal RNA", at positions 355 to 796 of the family's 1533-position model. The record is from RNAcentral.
UGAGGAAUAUUGGACAAUGGGGGAAACCCUGAUCCAGCCAUGCCGCGUGAGUGAUGAAGGCCCUAGGGUUGUAAAACUCUUUCACCGGCGAAGAUAAUGACGGUAACCGGAGAAGAAGCCCCGGCUAAUUUCGUGCCAGCAGCCGCGGUAAUACGAAAGGGGCUAGCGUUGUUCGGAAUUACUGGGCGUAAAGCGCGCGUAGGCGGACCAUCAAGUUGGGGGUGAAAUCCCGGGGCUCAACCCCGGAACUGCCUCCAAAACUGGUGGUCUAGAGGAUGUGAGAGGAUAGUGGAAUUCCAAGUGUAGAGGUGAAAUUCGUAGAUAUUUGGAAGAACACCAGUGGCGAAGGCGACUGUCUGGCACAUUUCUGACGCUGAGGUGCGAAAGCGUGGGGAGCGAACAGGAUUAGAUACCCCCGUAGUCC